Molecule: long non-coding RNA, 927 nt
Filed under: Gallus gallus (chicken)
Lineage: Eukaryota; Metazoa; Chordata; Aves; Galliformes; Phasianidae
Source: RNAcentral
UAAGGAGUUCUGGAUGUUUUCAGUCCACGAGGCCAGCCAGGUGACUGUGUUGUCAAAGCGCACUUCCUUCCAUUUAUGCCCCACUGGUGGCUCAGGGAUCUUGGAGUCCUUGCUACAGUUGAUGAUCACAUCUUCUGGCAUAAUCCUCUUCUUCAGCAUGCCCAUUUUGGGGUGGUCACCACGUCCACGGAACAGCCCUGGAGGCUCAGUUUUGAAGUUGCCUAUUUUCUCCCUGUGCCCAUCAAGGAUGCAGUAUCCAUACUCCUCCUGGAUCUUAUCUGCCUCCUCCUUCAGUUUCUGCUUCUCCUCUUUGGAGAGUGCUUUCCGUGCCUCAUUUUUGUCCACAAAGUACUUAUGAAUCUCCCUAAAGUCACACUUGUCCAACUGCUUGAUUAUCUCUUGUUCCUGAGGGGUCAUCUCCUUUCUCCAGUCAUUAAAAAAGUUAUUCUGGAAGAUCUCUUUAGUCGUGUACUCGUGAUCAAGCAUUUUUGCAUAGAAAGUGGCAAUUUCCUCUGUGGCCAGGCUCAGCUUCAGGGGUUUACCAUCAUAAUAAAAUUGCACAUCAUCAGGCAGAGGCUCAUAGAGGGGGACAAAGUAGGGUCCUUUGUGCUCCAGUUGUUUCCACUUCACCCCAUCGUUUGUCUUCUCCUCUUCCCACCUGCUGCAGCCCCCUGACCCUGCACGGAGGGCAGUGGGGAUGAAUGGAGGGCGAGGGACCCCUCGGCCAAGCAGCAAGGUGGCCAAACACCGAUACAUGCCACCCACAACCCACAGCAGUGGUCACCCCCAGCAUCAUGUCCCAGCACCCUGUUACCCACUGGGGCACGCUGGCAUUGCCCAAAGCAUUGCCAUGAGAAGAAAACACCCGCUGUUGGUCGGGGUUGCGGCACUUCCCCCACGUGUUGGAGCAAUGAAGCCUUAUGGGAA